GAUGAACGUUGGCGGUGUGCCUAAUACAUGCAAGUCGAACGGAGAUUGUAGCAAUACGGUCUUAGUGGCGAACGGGUGAGUAACGCGUUGGUGAUCUGCCUCGAAGUGUGGAAUAACGAUUCGAAAGAAUCGCUAAUACCGCAUAGUCUCUCUUUUUCCAGAAAUUUGAGAGUAAAGGAUUUAUUCGCUUUGAGAGGAGCCUGCGUCCCAUCAGCUAGUUGGUAAGGUAAUGGCCUACCAAGGCGAUGACGGGUAGGGGACCUGAGAGGGUGGCCCCCCACAAUGGAACUGAAACACGGUCCAUACACCUACGGGUGGCAGCAGUAGGGAAUAUUAGAAAUGGACGAAAGUCUGAUCUAGCAACACCGCGUGUGCGAAGAAGGCCUUCGGGUUGUAAGCACGUUUUGGUAAGGAUUAGGAAGGAAGUAGUACUUCCAGAAUAAGUACUCGGCUAACUACGUGCCAGCAGCCGCGGUAAGUCUGUAGUCGU
This 490-nucleotide ribosomal RNA is filed under the name uncultured bacterium. Its description in RNAcentral is "bacterial SSU rRNA". It matches the Rfam family "Bacterial small subunit ribosomal RNA", at positions 28 to 534 of the family's 1533-position model. The record is from RNAcentral.